This 454-nucleotide ribosomal RNA is filed under the name uncultured bacterium. RNAcentral describes it as "partial 16S ribosomal RNA". It matches the Rfam family "Bacterial small subunit ribosomal RNA", at positions 462 to 916 of the family's 1533-position model. The record is from RNAcentral.
UNNUGAUUUGAUUGUACCUUUGAAGUAAGCCCCNNNNNACUACGUGCCAGCAGCCGCNNNNNNNCGUAGGGGGCAAGCGUUGUCCGGAUUUACUGGGUGUAAAGGGUGCUCAGGCGGAUCUGUAAGUCAGUGGUGAAAUCCCGGAGCUUAACUCCGGAACUGCCAUUGAUACUGCAGGCCUCGAGUUCGGGAGAGGUUGAUGGAAUAUCUGGUGUAGCAGUGAAAUGCGUAGAUAUCAGAUAGAACACCAAUGGCGAAGGCAGUCAACUGGCCCGAUACUGACGCUAAAGCACGAAAGUGUGGGGAGCAAACAGGAUUAGAUACCCUGGUAGUCCACACCCUAAACGAUGAGUACUAGACGUUGAGCCUUUUAAGGCCCAGUGUCUGAGCUAACGCAUUAAGUACUCCACCUGGGAAGUACGAUCGCAAGGUUGAAACUCAAAGGAAUUGACGG